Molecule: transfer-messenger RNA, 361 nt
Filed under: Planctomycetota bacterium
Lineage: Bacteria; Pseudomonadati; Planctomycetota
Rfam family: transfer-messenger RNA
About the family: Bacterial tmRNA, also known as 10Sa RNA or SsrA, is named for its dual tRNA and mRNA-like properties.
Source: RNAcentral
GGGGGCGAACUGGUUUCGACUCAGUUAAUCGAGGCCAGGGUGGCAUGCAGAGGACGCGGUUGGCCUCUUAAAAAAACCGUAAAAAAACAAUUGGCGAAGAAGAAAAUUCUUACGCUUUAGCUGCCUAAUAAAAUAGACAGCGGGGACCGACUGAUUUGUCCGUGAUCAGUUGAAUCCUACACAGAUACGGGCUAGAUUCCGGCAGGCCGAUGGGUCGGUAUCGAAACUCAAAAGUCGACUUGGGGUGGCGAAAUCCUGUUUUCGGGAGCUCGGCGCUCGAGAUUUAAAUCGAAGACUAAGCAUGUAGAGGCUCUGACUGAGGUGCUGUAGGACCCGGGUUCAACUCCCGGCGCCUCCACUU